Molecule: long non-coding RNA, 399 nt
Filed under: Homo sapiens (human)
Lineage: Eukaryota; Metazoa; Chordata; Mammalia; Primates; Hominidae
Description: novel transcript, antisense to THSD7A
Source: RNAcentral
UCCAAACCAGGCUUUCUCAAUUUCACCAUCCUCACCUCCCCACAGCACAUCUGAGGCCCAUCUGGAGAAUGGUUACCAGAGGCUGGGAAGGGUAGUGGGAGAUUGAGGGGAGGUGGGGAUAGUUGAACUCUCGUGAGUUCAAUUGUUUUCAUUUUUAGAGCCCACAAAUAACUAAGAACAUGCAAUGUUUGUCUUUCUGUUCCUGGCUUAUUUCGCUUAACAUAAUGAUCUUCAGCUUCAUCCAUGAAGUCCUGCAACAUUUUCGGUGCCCAAUGUGGGGCUCAAAAAGCGGCCAUCAGACUCCAAACAGUUAUGCAACUGGAGCCUCCUGAGGAUGACCCCUUCUGCCUGGGACCCUUAGAUCAGCCUCUAGAGAAGCUUUGACUGCUGUUUCCCCAA